RNAcentral lists this ribosomal RNA (500 nucleotides) under uncultured bacterium. Its description in RNAcentral is "partial 16S ribosomal RNA". It matches the Rfam family "Bacterial small subunit ribosomal RNA", at positions 28 to 507 of the family's 1533-position model. The record is from RNAcentral.
GACGAACGCUGGCGGCGUGCUUAACACAUGCAAGUCGAACGGGUCUGCCCUGUUUUUUGCGGGGUGGGUCAGUGGCGAACGGGUGAGUAACACGUGAGUAACCUGCCCCUCACUUCUGGAUAACCGCUUGAAAGGGUGGCUAAUACGGGGUGUUCUGGCUGUGCCGCAUGGUGUGGCUGGGAAAGAUUCACUUUUGUGGUGUUUUGGUGGGGGAUGGGCUCGCGGCCUAUCAGCUUGUUGGUGGGGUGAUGGCCUGCCAAGGCUUUGACGGGUAGCCGGCCUGAGAGGGUGGGCGGUCACACUGGGACUGAGAGACGGCCCAGACUCCUGCGGGAGGCAGCAGUGGGGGGUAUUGCACAAUGGGCGGAAGCCUGAUGCAGCGACGUCGCGUGAGGGAUGGAGGCCUUCGGGUUGUGAACCUCUUUCGCCGGUGAAGAAGGUCCUGCUCUUUGGGGUGGGGUUGACGGUAGCCGGGUUAUGAAGCGCCGGCUAACUACGUG